GCGCAACGGACCUCUCCGAGCUGGAGUCGCUCUACCUCGCUGGCACCUGGAAGGCCGAAAGCGGCUUAGGCGAUUGGCUUUUGGUUCUCCCUUCGGCCAGUAAGGAACGAGGUAUUGCAGGCAAGCUCGGCAGACGGGAGAGCGGCCGCCGGUCACCAUGGCGACCGCGCGGUAGAGGCACUGCGAGGGGGCGAUACGUCCCCUUGUCUUACAGGCCAGAAUUUCACCGGUGUGGCAACCCGGCCUUCCUCCCCGCCCCAAGCCAAGGGCCUGCCCUGCCCUUUGCGGUGGGCACACACAGGCACCGGGCCUUUCUGGGGGUCUUCAGGUCCCGCUGCUCGAGCGCCUGCUGGGCUUGUACGGUGAAGCCGCCGCCAGGCAGGCAGGCAGGAUGAUCCGGCCGCGAAUGUUGUGUGGAAGUAGACUGCCAUUGGCCCUGGAGGCUCCAUUGAGAUGCCAUGUCUAGCAGCGGGGUUGGAACUCCGCCUCCUCUUUUCAUGUGGGUGGGUGUCCCGCCCCAGUGAAGGCAGCGGGGUGUGGGUGUUGCGGGGGCGGCGGCGCCUCCUCUUAUUCAUCCUAAGUCCACCCGCAGUCAAAUUUAUUUAAUCAGAACCCCCCCCCUCCUGCAACAGUAAAGUCCAAAUAUGAGAGAAGGAGGAAAACGCGGGCCCACUCAGCAGUCUCAGUGUCCCCAGAGUGGCCAAGCUGUUGCUUCUGGGAAACCGCAAAGCAGCCGGACAUCUCCUUGGCAGUCAUGGAUGCAAAUGCUGAUGGCAUUAAAAGAGGAUAAGACUAAGGUGCUACUGGACAAUUUUUUUUAAAAAAAAUAUUAUUUAUUUAUUUCAAUUGCAUCAGACCAUCACAGCUACCUCCCUGAACCAUGGAAGAGGAUGAGGCUAGCCACUAGCAUUGAGGAGAACCAGGUUCUUCCUCUACAAAUUGAGGCAGUUUGCUUUUCACAGGGAUUACCAAGUGGUGGAGAUAAUAUUGCAUUCAGACCUUGCCCUUCAGAGGCACCACACCUCUGAUCCUAGAGGUCCUAGACACAGUCAUCAUGACUAGAAGCCACCAGCAGCAAUAUGACCAGCUGCUACCAACCCCAGCAAGCAUGACCAAUGAACAGGUAUGAUGGGAUUUGUAGUCUGACAAGUUUAGUCAGCCCUACUGAUAGCACGUUAAAUCUCUAUAGCUAGCAGGAGAGAGCAGGUUUAGUGCUCUUGGACAAUGUAGAGCAGGUAUGGGGGAGAACUCUGGCCCUCCAGAUGUUGCUGAAUUACAACUCACAUCAUCCCUAGACAUUGGCCAUGCUUGCUGGGGCUGAAAUGAAUUGUAGUUUAGCAGCAUCCAAAGGUUCCCAAAGCCUAGUGUAGAAGCAGGUUGAGUAGCACUGAACCCAUUCACUUCAGCUGAAGGAGCAGCACAUGCAGGAACCCAUUUUGUAUGUGCAGCUCUACAUCCCAUAAUAGGCAAACUCUCUACAUUACAUUUGCUACCCACUGCUUACUGCCAUGCUGAUAGUCUAGGUCCUGGGCCCUCCUGACAACAAUGCCAAGUCUUCCCUGCUGAGCUGCCUUCUGCUUUACCUUCCUCACCUUCAGCUGUAUUGUGCCACAGAACAUGUGAUGCUGUGCUUGGAGGGCACAACAGUUGGCAUGUGGCCUGAAGGAACCGGAGUUGUGUAUGCUCUUCAGUGCAGUGCAACGAGCUCGCCUGGAAUCUCACCAAGCAAAGGGAGGCCAAAUGCUGUUAAGUGAGUGGGGCUGGGUAGAAAUCAAAUCCUCUGCAUGUGGCUGGUUCAGAGGAUGAGAAACAGGAAAAUCUUUUUUUCAGAGCAGAAGCUCAGACAGUGACUGACUCUUCUGGAACAGAGGAGAGAGAAAGGACACUAAAGAGACUGAGGGGAAGCUUGGACAGCAACUGUUCUCAGUUAAUCCAGAGCCCCCCAGUAAAUAAAAUUGUAGGCAGUUAAUAAAUUACAGAAAUAGGGGAAAGAAGUAUUUUAGGAGGCAGUUUAGUUCAUCUGGAGGGUACCUGGCGAGCUCCUAUUGUAUGUUGGGGUGGAGGGAGGGAGGAAAGAGGGCUCUAAAUUGCCUUUCAGCUCUUUUAAAUUAUUUCUGCAGAUCUUAUUACAGGAGAGAAGCGGCUGCAGAACAACCCGGAAUUCCAGCAGCCAACUGCCCACCAGACCUGUUAUGAAAAAGUAGAAAGUGCAUAUAUAGCCCACAAGCCUGGUGGAGGCAAUAAAAGAUGCCUUCGACUUCCAUUCAUCACUUUGUCAUCUUCAGCUACAUUCAGAUAGUGGUUAGCAGAGCUCACAACAUGGGCAAAUUAACACAUACGAGUCCCUUGCUGGCUUCCUCCUCUCAUAGCUUCCCACAGGAGAUAUAUAUUCCAUUUUCAUGGCUCCUGCCUCCUCUCCUCUUUGGGCCCCAUCCCAGAUGGAAAGAAAAAAGAACUCUUAGGGUAUGAAAUGGGAUGGGGGUGAAGAAAGGAGAGUGUGUCACAGGCAGCAGCAGUAGCAGCACAGCCAAGGGGCUGUACAGUUGCUAUGAAUUAUUGUGGCAAUGUGACACAGCUUUCCCCCUCCAUCAUACUGAAGCAUGGUUGCUUCUGGUACUGAGGGGCUGAGAAGUUAAGAGAUCUGCCCUAAAAGAUUUGGCAGUGCAAAGAAGACAGCUUUGCCCUCAAACCCUGCUGCUCAUAAGAUGCCUGGAGGCACCUAGGUGGCUGUUGCUGUCAGAACAGGGUAGUGGGCUAGGUGGACCUUUUGUCUCAUCCCAUACAACUGCUCUUACAUUCUUAUACCCAGAGUAUCUGUUGUGGAAGUUGCAGAGGGUGCAAUGGAAACAUAACAGCUGUCCUACCCUGCCUGCAGCAUCAACUCUGGUGCGCCACUGCUCCCAAGAGCCCCUUUCUGUUCCUUCAGGGAAGAGGACCAACCUGGAUCUUCUACUCUGUCCCUGAGCUCCAGCCCUCAGCCUCUUGCCUGGCCUUGAAUAGCUGUCUGUCAGUGGCAAUGCUGAGAAACUCAAAGCCAGCCUCCAAGAAAUCCAUGCCCCAGGUCUCUAGGGGCACAGCUGAGUUCCUGGAGAUCACACAAAUCAUCUGGGAUCUCAUCUCUUAAACUUUAAAUCCACAACCAUAAGAUAUAAAUAGCUUGGGCACAAGCCAAUGUAAUCUACCCUUCCACUGUGCAGUGUGUAUAUACAUGGACACUAAAAAUAAACUACAACACAGAAACAGAUCCUGCUGGAUUAAGACAAAUUUGGAUUUUAAUGCCCAGCUUUGCUCAGAGUCCUAGAGUUCAAGGGUCGAUAUAGUAGAUUGCAAGAAGGGUAUAGGUUAGUCAAGCCUCAACAUUUUAUCAUAAUAAACCAGAUGUGGACAAAACACCAAGUUGAAGCCCAUAAAUCUAUUACAGUGAACUGUCAAUGUCCCCUACGGCAGGGUCAUUUGUUAAUUCAUAGCUGGGUCUCUUUUUUCAACAGACCUUGUAAACUCUUUCCUGAAACAUCAAUAAACCAUCUGCUUUGACUAGUUAAUCAAAUGACUUUAUUCAGUCCAAAGCCAUUUUUUCCUAAUAAAAACAGAGUAUUUAUCUCCACGGCUAUAAAAGAGGAUUGUUUUCAACUAUUCACUUAUAGUUAAGAAGCGCAUUUAGUCUGGAUUGAUUUCCAAUGCCUUGGUCAUAUCCUGUCACUUUCCAUUUCUUACACACAACAUCUCAGUUUAGCUACUUAGCAGCAAAAAAAACACAACCUAACUUGGGGCUGGGCACCAGUUCAGGGAGGCAGAAAAGUUCCCAUCAGGAUUAAGAGCGGCAUUCUCCUCUGGCAAGCAGUAGAAUGACAGGUGUCUCCUGCGCCUGUACGUCUUUCACAUCUGGCAUUCUGUUGCAGGGGACCCAACUCCUCUCCUGGGACUGGCUUUCUAAGGAAGGAUAUGUGCCCCAGAACUGCUCUGUAACUACAAAUUCAAUUGCAAAACAACCAAACUGCUCCCAGUUGCACUGAAGCAACCACGCGCUUUUGGGGAUCAUAACAAGUACAUUAACUGCCCUUGUCUGUCUAGCAGAGCCCUGCCUUUGACAGUGCCAGGAAAACAGAGUCUUGGAGCCUUAUGCCAUUGGAGGCACCUGGUACAAUCCUGAGUUCAGCUGCCGUACUCACUGUGGGGCCAAUUCCUGGCCUCUCAACCCAACCAACUUGUCAGGGGUAAGUCUUAAAAAAAAAAAAAAAAGGCGGGUGGGCAUUCACACAGGAAAUACAUACAAGAAUCCGGUGCCCCAGUUCUGUCCUAUCUGCCCCAGUGGGGAGCAGAGGGUGAAUAUGGCAAAGUCAUUUAUAUAAUGUGCCUCUCUGCUGUGUUUCGAAUGGCCAGAGCUUUUGUUAUGCUGUUGCUGGCUGCCCAUGACAGGCAGGAAGCCACAGCCUCCCUUUAUGCCAUUGCCUUAUUCAGCAAUUUACAUCCAGCAUAAAAAUCAAAUAUGCAUGUUGCUACCGCCUCACCAACAGCAGUUUCAAUUUUUGCCUUGCUGUAUUCUAAAUGGGGGGGGGGGGGGCACAGACGGGCAGAGUCGCUUUGCUAGGCCUGAAACUACUUGAAUUUCUGUCUGCUUUAUUGCUAAGUGGCUGGAUGGGAAUGGCUGAAUGCAGCUUCCUAAGAAGCGAGUGCACAGAGAAGGCCUCUUGGGAGGAGGGACAGCAGCAUCCACAGGGGGCAGACUCCUUGGCUUCGACUGGACAGAAGAGCGUCCAUUGAUGGGUCUUCUGGCAGCCUGGCUCUUGGAGCUCUUGAGGAGAAGGGACAAGCUCUCUUGCCUUAAGUGAAUUUCUGUCCAGACAGCUCGCACCCCAAGACAAUGGGGGUGCAGUCCAACAAUGCUCACAGAGCUUCCCUCCUGGAUUCCGUGGAGUCACUGGACACACAGGGAGUUUCAGCCAUCAGAUCACUGCCAAUUCUGAACAAAGUGAGAAAGCAUUUCCAAGGCAAGAUGGGCAGCUACUCAAGCUGACUCCAUGAAAAGACCCAGGAGGCCCUUCUGGCAUGAGCAUCCACUCAGCUCUUAUCCCAUGCUCCAUGUGCACACCAAGACCUUGCCCCGGGCACCUUUGAGUGGCUCUCAUCAUCAUGGUGCUCCCUCCGGAGAGUCUGUCUAGAACAUCAUCACCAUUUUCAUUUGGGGCAGCUCUUGAAGGCACAAGUGAAGCAUCAUUCAAGAAUUUAGAUUCCAAUGGAUUUUGGUCGUUUAAAAAGAGCAGCAAUGCUGGAGCUACGCAGACGGUCAUGCUCCCCUGAGCCCUAAGGUGGUGGGGAGGAGGCGAGAGGCUGCAUCCAGACACUGAAGCCCAACAAGCCGCAGGGCAGAAGCCAGAACCAAAUCAAGCUUCAUUUCUCUUGCUUGUUCAGCUGGCAAAGGCAAACUGCAUUGCCCAGGAUAUCUUUUCUUCUUUUGCUUGAAGGCUAAGAGCCUUUCCCUUGGAAGCUAAGCAAGGAACACAGCUGGCUCCACCGCUGGGCAUCCCAUGCCCCAUCACAGCAGUAGCAGAGCUUUGGUCAUCUCUGCUCCUUUGAGACUCAGCAGAAAAGAAUGGAGGACUCCAGUCUCCAUGACGACAGAAUAAACUCCACAGGUUAUUACAAAUCAUGGGCAUAGCCAAGGGGGGGGCAGGGAGGGGCAGCUGCCCCCCAAGCAAUAAAAAAACAAUAAAAAUACAUAGCAGAGGUUCUGCCCCUCCUAACAAAAAUCCUGGUUAUGCCCAUGUUGCAAAUGACAAGAAAUACAAGUAAAACAAAAAGCAACCCCAAGCACUGUAGGCAGUGCUUAUUUUGAGAAUUCUCCACUACAGUGUGCGCAUGUGUGUGUGCACUCUUAAGUCAAACAACUCCUUUUGUUCCCCUCCCCUCUUGACCCCUUGCUGAGAAGGAAGUUGCCAGGACUUCCUAAUGGUUACUGUAGGGUGCAAUAUCUUUCUCCAGCCUCUGCACACCCCUUAUCUUCUUCCAGCUGCUUUAGUGCCCCAUCGCUGGGCUUGCUUUCAUAGGCAGGGAUGAAGGCUUCCUCAUGUUGUCUACAGCUCUGUCACAUUCAGCACUCGAUCCACUGCACUGCAUACAACCAGUUUCAAACCUGCUGGUGUGGACAGCCUGAGGAAGGUGCCUCAGCCUUGGUGCCUGCCCAUAAAAGCAAGCCUAGAGUGAGAGACGAGGAUGAUGUCAGCAGGUCCCAGAAACCUUUGUUGUGAGAUAUUGGGGGUGAUUUGAGAGUUUGUUUGGGGCCUGGGUAGAUGGGUGGAGUCCUGGGUAAAAGCCAGUGGGCUGAGAGGUGCUGAGUG
RNAcentral lists this long non-coding RNA (6335 nucleotides) under Podarcis lilfordi (Lilford's wall lizard). Lineage: Eukaryota; Metazoa; Chordata; Lepidosauria; Squamata; Lacertidae. The record is from RNAcentral.